This 74-nucleotide transfer RNA is filed under the name Marmota monax (woodchuck). RNAcentral's name for it is "tRNA.Ala". The record is from RNAcentral. Lineage: Eukaryota; Metazoa; Chordata; Mammalia; Rodentia; Sciuridae.
GGGUUGUGGCUCAGAGGUAGAGCACUUGCCUAGCACGUUUGAGGCCCUGGGUUUGAGGCCCUGGGUUUGAUCCU